GACGAACGCUGGCGGCGUGCCUAAUACAUGCAAGUCGAACGCUUCUUUCCUCCCGAGUGCUUGCACUCAAUUGGAAAGAGGAGUGGCGGACGGGUGAGUAACACGUGGGUAACCUACCCAUCAGAGGGGGAUAACACUUGGAAACAGGUGCUAAUACCGCAUAACAGUUUAUGCCGCAUGGCAUAAGAGUGAAAGGCGCUUUCGGGUGUCGCUGAUGGAUGGACCCGCGGUGCAUUAGCUAGUUGGUGAGGUAACGGCUCACCAAGGCCACGAUGCAUAGCCGACCUGAGAGGGUGAUCGGCCACCCUGGGACUGAGACACGGCCCAGACUACUACGGGAGGAAGCAGUAGGGAAUCUUCGGCAAUGGACGAAAGUGUGACCGAGCAACGCCGCGUGAGUGAAGAAGGUUUUCGGAUCGUAAAACUCUGUUGUUAGAGAAGAACAAGGACGUUAGUAACUGAACGUCCCCUGACGGUAUCUAACCAGAAAGCCACGGCUAACUACGUG
This 508-nucleotide ribosomal RNA is filed under the name uncultured bacterium. Its description in RNAcentral is "partial 16S ribosomal RNA". It matches the Rfam family "Bacterial small subunit ribosomal RNA", at positions 28 to 507 of the family's 1533-position model. The record is from RNAcentral.